RNAcentral lists this ribosomal RNA (540 nucleotides) under Pseudomonas aeruginosa. Its description in RNAcentral is "bacterial SSU rRNA". It matches the Rfam family "Bacterial small subunit ribosomal RNA", at positions 222 to 754 of the family's 1533-position model. Lineage: Bacteria; Pseudomonadati; Pseudomonadota; Gammaproteobacteria; Pseudomonadales; Pseudomonadaceae. The record is from RNAcentral.
CAGAUGAGCCUAGGUCGGAUUAGCUAGUUGGUGGGGUAAAGGCCUACCAAGGCGACGAUCCGUAACUGGUCUGAGAGGAUGAUCAGUCACACUGGAACUGAGACACGGUCCAGACUCCUACGGGAGGCAGCAGUGGGGAAUAUUGGACAAUGGGCGAAAGCCUGAUCCAGCCAUGCCGCGUGUGUGAAGAAGGUCUUCGGAUUGUAAAGCACUUUAAGUUGGGAGGAAGGGCAGUAAGUUAAUACCUUGCUGUUUUGACGUUACCAACAGAAUAAGCACCGGCUAACUUCGUGCCAGCAGCCGCGGUAAUACGAAGGGUGCAAGCGUUAAUCGGAAUUACUGGGCGUAAAGCGCGCGUAGGUGGUUCAGCAAGUUGGAUGUGAAAUCCCCGGGCUCAACCUGGGAACUGCAUCCAAAACUACUGAGCUAGAGUACGGUAGAGGGUGGUGGAAUUUCCUGUGUAGCGGUGAAAUGCGUAGAUAUAGGAAGGAACACCAGUGGCGAAGGCGACCACCUGGACUGAUACUGACACUGAGGUGC